Non-coding RNA from Cyanistes caeruleus (blue tit), 422 nucleotides. The record is from the annotation of a RefSeq genome assembly. Lineage: Eukaryota; Metazoa; Chordata; Aves; Passeriformes; Paridae.
CUGAGGGCAGACACAAGCAAGAGCCCUCAGGAUGCUGCUGCUUCGUCUCCUGGCCCUGGCAGCAGCCUGGUCUCAUGGACAAGCACAAAUGUUUCUAAAGCAGAGACAAGUGUCCAUUACCAGAGGGCACAAGACAGCUGCAUCAAUGGACUGUAUAGCUGAGGGUUUUUCUGAUUUCCAGAGCUUAUAUAUACAUUGGUACCGACAAAGACCCUCCAGAGCUCCAGAAUGGAUUCUGUACAUCGGCCCCCAUGCAGCUUUUUACGAUGACAGUUCGUACAGCAACAAGUAUUCCUCUUUUAAGAGAGGUACAAACAUCUGCACUUUCACAAUCAAUGACAUCAACUCCAAUGAUGAAGGUACCUACUACUGUGCCUACUGGCAUUUCCACAGAACUUGCAGGUGACAGGCGGUCUGUACAG